AUUGAACGCUGGCGUAAUGCUUUACACAUGCAAGUCGAACGGCAGCACGGGGGCAACCCUGGUGGCGAGUGGCGAACGGGUGAGUAAUACAUCGGAACGUGCCCGGUCGUGGGGGAUAACGUAGCGAAAGUUACGCUAAUACCGCAUACGAUCUGCGGAUGAAAGCGGGGGACCUUCGGGCCUCGCGCGAUCGGAGCGGCCGAUGUCCGAUUAGGUAGUUGGUGGGGUAAAGGCCUCCCAAGCCGACGAUCUGUAGCUGGUCUGAGAGGACGACCAGCCACACUGGGACGGAGACACGGCCCAGACUCCUACGGGAGGCAGCAGUGGGGAAUUUUGGACAAUGGGCGCAAGCCUGAUCCAGCCAGUCCGCGUGCAGGACGAAGGCCUUCGGGUUGUAAACUGCUUUUGUAUGGAACGAAAAGGCUCUGGCUAAUACCUGGGGCUCAUGACGGUACCGUAAGAAUAAGCACCGGCUAACUACGUG
RNAcentral lists this ribosomal RNA (484 nucleotides) under uncultured bacterium. Its description in RNAcentral is "partial 16S ribosomal RNA". It matches the Rfam family "Bacterial small subunit ribosomal RNA", at positions 30 to 507 of the family's 1533-position model. The record is from RNAcentral.